UACGGGGGGAGCAAGCGUUGUUCGGAUUUACUGGGCGUAAAGCGCACGCAGGCGGUUUCUUAAGUUUGACGUGAAAACUCCUGGCUUAACUGGGAGAGGUCGUUGAAGACUGGGGAACUUGAGGCAAUGAGAGGGAUGUAGAAUUCACGGUGUAGUGGUGGAAUGCGUAGAUAUCGUGAGGAAUACCAGUGGCGAAAGCGACACCCUGGCAUUAGCCUGACGCUCAUGUGCGAAGGCGUGGGGAGCGAACGGG
Molecule: ribosomal RNA, 253 nt
Filed under: uncultured bacterium
Lineage: Bacteria
Description: partial 16S ribosomal RNA
Rfam family: Bacterial small subunit ribosomal RNA
Source: RNAcentral